GGGAGCAGGUGUGAUCGUCGCGAGACCUUCGCUACGCGGAGGCUUCGAGGAAAGUCCGAGCUCCAUAGGACGGGGUGCUGGGUAACUCCCAGUGGGAGCGAUCCCAAGGAAAGUGCAACAGAAAGUAGACCGCCACGGUUCUGGACCCUCGCCGCUCGCACGUCGGGAGGCAGGUGCGCGGAGAAGGUCCAGGAUCGUGGUAAGGGUGAAACGGUGAGGUAAGAGCUCACCAGUGUCGUCGGUGACGCCGGCAGCUCGGCAAACCCCACCCGGAGCAAGACCGAAUAGAGGAGGAGAGGUGGUCCGCCUCGCCAAAACUCCUGGGUUGGUCGCUCGAGGCGGACGGAAACGUCCGUCCUAGACAAAUGACGGUCCCCGGUCGACCCGGAUCCUGCCCGGAGGCGCGUCGGCACCGGUCGGCGGCGUUCGGGGAAGAUCCGGGACCCGAACCGGGAACAGAACUCGGCUUACGGCUUGCUCCCCAUC
RNAcentral lists this RNase P RNA (486 nucleotides) under Candidatus Eiseniibacteriota bacterium. Its description in RNAcentral is "RNase P RNA component class A". It matches the Rfam family "Bacterial RNase P class A". Rfam says of the family: Ribonuclease P (RNase P) is a ubiquitous endoribonuclease, found in archaea, bacteria and eukarya as well as chloroplasts and mitochondria. Its best characterised activity is the generation of mature 5'-ends of tRNAs by cleaving the 5'-leader elements of precursor-tRNAs. The record is from RNAcentral. Lineage: Bacteria; Candidatus Eiseniibacteriota.